Long non-coding RNA from Dunckerocampus dactyliophorus (ringed pipefish), 544 nucleotides. RefSeq lists it as uncharacterized. Lineage: Eukaryota; Metazoa; Chordata; Actinopteri; Syngnathiformes; Syngnathidae. The transcript is spliced from 3 exons. The record is from RefSeq and is a predicted model, not a curated record.
GUCUCACUUGACGCAUGUCCAUUGUGCGUGUGCUAACUUUCUGUCGCUGCACAGAUAGACUACUACUGUAUUUUUACCAUUUUUCUUUCACCUCAUAUUUGGUCUCAAAUGGUUAUACUAUGUGGGAAUGCAUAAAGGAGCAUGAACGCUAUGCUAAAUCUCCAAUGAAGCUCUGGCUUCACCUCAUGGAAGCUCACAGCAAGAAAGCAAGACCCUGAUUGGAGAAAGCGGCAAAAAACAUCACUUUCGAGGAAGUUGAGCUUCACUGGGGGCCUCUGGAGCAGGGCAGUCCUUGAUUUUGACUGACAGCAGCCAGAGGAGUGAGCUGAGUUUUUUUCCCUUUCCCCAGCGAUGCAGUCACAUAGAUUCGAGGGACGACAGCAGUCGGAGCAGGCGUUACAAAAUUAUUUUACAGCGAUUCAAUUUUACAGCUAUUUUCUCACUUUGUAUAUCCUACAUGGUGUCAACCACCUGGAAACUGAUUGGCGACUUGAUGACACCCUCUGUUAGCGUGGACGUUGCUAGACGCUCCUCCAAUGUCAGG